RNAcentral lists this transfer RNA (73 nucleotides) under Saccoglossus kowalevskii. Its description in RNAcentral is "tRNA-Thr". It matches the Rfam family "tRNA". From Rfam's summary of the family: Transfer RNA (tRNA) molecules are approximately 80 nucleotides in length. Their secondary structure includes four short double-helical elements and three loops (D, anti-codon, and T loops). Lineage: Eukaryota; Metazoa; Hemichordata; Enteropneusta; Harrimaniidae. The record is from RNAcentral.
GCCUCCUUAGCUCAGUGGUUAGAGCACUGGUCUUGUAAACCAGGGGGCAUGAGUUCGAAUCUCAUAGGAGGCU